This 26-nucleotide non-coding RNA is filed under the name Drosophila erecta. Lineage: Eukaryota; Metazoa; Arthropoda; Insecta; Diptera; Drosophilidae. RNAcentral also lists the same sequence under 1 other name. The record is from RNAcentral.
UCUUAAGGUUGCCGAGUGACUUCAUU